GGCAUUCAUGUGGUCUGUGACUAGGAAUUCUCAUCUCUAUCUCUCUUUCUCUCUCUCUUUUUCUCUUCUCAUCUCUCUCUCUUUUUCUCUCUCUUCUUUUCAUCUCUAGUUCUCUUUCUCUCUCUUCUUAUCUCUAUCUCUCUUUUAUCUCUCAUAUUCUUUCAUUCCUAGCAUCGAGUGGAAUUUUCUCUCUCCUCUUCUUUCAUUCCUAGCACCUGGUGGAGUUUUUUCUCUCCUCUCCUCUCAUUUCCAAUAUCGGUUGGGUUUCUCUCUCCUCUCCUCUCAUUCUCAAUACCGAUUGGGUUUUCUCUCUCCUCUCCUAUAAUUCCCAAUGUCGAUUGGGUUUUCUCUCUCCUCUCCUCUCAUUCCCAACCGCUGGGUUUCUCUUAAUGGUCCCCUCUUUUCUUUCUCUUUUAACCUUGUGGUCCUGCAUGACCACAACCCAUCUCUUCCCUCGUCCUUGUGGUCUCUCACGACAACAACUUUCUCCUCUCCCUCCUUGUGGUCCGGCAUGACCACAAUUUGCCAAUUUUCUUAUUCCUUUAUUCCCUACAAGUCCACUUGCUUCAAGGUAUACCCUCGGAUCUACUUACUCUAUUUUUUUUUUUGUCAUAGCCGUCUGCCUUUUUUGUACACCCUCGUGUCUUUUCUUUCUUUCCCACGAUUCGGUAGUCCCGCGUGACCACUACUCCACAAAUCUUCAUAACUUAGCGCCUUUUGGGCAAUUUUCUUGUGGCGCCGGUUGGGCAAUUUCACGUGCGCUCCCCUUCCCUCUUCUUAGCGCCCAAUGUGCGCUCCCCUUCCACCUUCCUGUGUAAGAUCCAAUGUCCUCCUCCCUUCUCUUUCUUCCACGGCCUCUCUCUCUUUCUCACUCUAGGCAUGCCCCUGUUGUCACACCUCUCAGCCUCUCUGAUACCACCUUCUUCCCUCUCUAAAAAAAGUCAGCCGCGAUUCCCAUAACACCCCAUCUUUACCCAAUUUCCCUAUGUUUCAUUUCACCCACCUGUAACCAGAAGGUUGCUGCCUCCUCUUCCCAGUACUCCUUCUCCACCUCAGUGCCCUCACCUUAUUCAUCUCAGCCUCGACUAUCACCAGCAGUCACGACCAACCUCCUCCAUCUCUCCCCAUCUACUCCAUUCUCUUCUACACAUUGUUGUUCAAUAUUGUGCCCACUCUUGAAGUCCACUGCUGAGCCAACAACAUCGCCGCCUCAGCCAGCAAGUAAUUCGAACCACCUUUGCUCAACCAUUUUUCACCCCACUUUUUAUCUCCCUCUGCUCCUCUCUUCUUCAUUUCACUGCCAUCUACAACCAGGCCCUGACUCAGCCAUUUCGGCCACCUCUAGCUGGCUGCCCCUGUCCCUCCACUCAGUGAGUCAUCCCUGCAACCAUCAUUUCAGCCUCAUCUCCCAUCGAUCCAUCAAGCCUUCUCGUCCAAAGCUAAGACACCCCCCAUUUUCGUCACCUUGCUGCUCCCUUCUUGCAGCUGCUCCAUUUCUGCCUGCAACUUCCGCCCCUCUCAAUCGCAGCCCUAACCUUGCUGCUGCGCCCUUCAAUCCACCAUAAGUUUCCAUCGUUCUCUUCUUCACCUUCACUCGUAUGCAGCGAUUAGCCAGCCAUCUCUUGAUCACCCAAUUCACUGCCUCUCUUGCUCUGCUCUCUCGUGCGCUCCUCUCGCUUCAACCUUCCUUUCUCUCUAAAAAACCCACAAAACAAAACUGUUGCUUCCUCUUCUUAUUUCGCUUUCGUUUUAAAAUUCUCGUUGAUUUCAUUUCGUUCGUUUCGUGAUACUUUCGUUCUCAUCCUA
Molecule: long non-coding RNA, 1806 nt
Filed under: Amborella trichopoda
Lineage: Eukaryota; Viridiplantae; Streptophyta; Magnoliopsida; Amborellales; Amborellaceae
Description: long non-coding RNA (ATRI_LNC001497)
Source: RNAcentral